Molecule: long non-coding RNA, 813 nt
Filed under: Rattus norvegicus (Norway rat)
Lineage: Eukaryota; Metazoa; Chordata; Mammalia; Rodentia; Muridae
Description: long non-coding RNA NONRATT002135
Source: RNAcentral
GCAGAGGGCUAAGCUGGACUACCUUGGGCAGCAACGCAGCCACUUGGUCUUUGAGGUUGACCAACUCCGAUGUGCUAAAGAAUCCUACAUUUAGGAAGGAGACCGUGUACCAUGGCUAACUUGUAUGUGAGGAUACUGCUGCAGAGAACUGCCUGUCGAGUCUGUUUCCCAAAAAGUCAUAGAUAAGCUCAUUCAGAAUGUCAUGUGGAGCUCUCCUCUGUGAGGAUGGCUCUCACAGUGACACCAGAUCGUGUCCGUGUGUAACAGGGUUUGUGCAAUAUGUAGUAAAUGUAUAAAAUGUAUUAUAUACAAGGUAUUUGAUACAAAGGGUGUUAUGUGCAUGCACUUCUGUACUUUUCAUAUGCUGCUUUCUUGUCCUCAGGCACUUGUUUCUAUAGACAAAGAAUCUUUACUUUUAACAUUACAGCAAAUGUCAUGCCCAUGUUCACAUUUUCUGUGAGCCACAUGUAGGCAGAAAUGUCUGCGCCUCUGAUGCGUCUUCCCCUAAGCAGGCUUAUAACAACUAAUCAGCAUCAUAGAAGAGAACAGACUGAAAGACUGUACUCGGUGUGUGAGCUGUCAGCCGCGCUGGGCGAAGGUUUUUCAAUCAUGUAACGGAAUGUGAGUGGCGCGGUGGAAAUGCGUUCUGUCAGUAUUAACUCACGCAGAGCACUUUGAGCCUCUGCAGCUCAGUGAUGCCUUGUGAGGCUGUGUGGAGGUAUGUGAUGUCGUAUGCACUGGGGAGUCUUGUAUAAGUCUUCAGUGCAGUUCAUUUAUUAUUCACAAUAAACUGUCCCCUUCUUUAGACAGUUC